This 26-nucleotide non-coding RNA is filed under the name Cricetulus griseus (Chinese hamster). The record is from RNAcentral. Lineage: Eukaryota; Metazoa; Chordata; Mammalia; Rodentia; Cricetidae.
CAAAAGUGGAAGAAGACUAGAAGAGA